Molecule: non-coding RNA, 357 nt
Organism: Schizosaccharomyces pombe (fission yeast)
Lineage: Eukaryota; Fungi; Ascomycota; Schizosaccharomycetes; Schizosaccharomycetales; Schizosaccharomycetaceae
Source: the annotation of a GenBank genome assembly
ACAGAAAAGCAGAAAAGGUAAGGAAGUCGAUCAAUUUGUAAAUGGCGCAUUCAUCAAUAUACCAAGUUGUCAGAUUAGCAAAUGUCAAUGUACGGUACGAUGGUAGCGGCGAUCGCAGGGUAGACAGCGAGAUAGCUGAUAAAGAAGGGAAUAAGUGGGGAUAUAGAAGGGGAGUGGAAAGAAAGGAAAGGAGGUGCGAAAAGGAGUUGUAAAGUAGGUUUGAAGGAUAUGAAAAGUUGGACUUCAAAAAAAAAAAUUUGUUGAUUAAUUUUUACCACAUCUUUCCAUUGAUGUCUUUGGGAUGUACUUGCGGAUAGACGAGAAUAGAUUUUAACAAUUAAGAGAUAGGCGAGAGUU